GAGGGGCCGGGGACGCGCGCGGGGGGAGAGGGGCAAGAGUCCUGGAGGCCCGGCGGGGAGCGGGGCGAUUUCGAAAGGAAGGACUGCAGCGCCCCUCGGGGCUUCUCGGGGAGCCCAGGAGGAAAGAGCUCAAUGCGGAAUCACAUAGGCAAAGGCUCUGAUUAUUUUCCUUGCAAUCGAAGACAAAAGCCGCCAUGUUUAUUAAAAUGAAAGUCGUAUUUUUACUCUUCCCUGGAAAGAAGUAUGUGCAACCAGACCAUCCCACCAAAGUCCUUCUAGCCCCCAGGAAGAAAAUUGAAGAGUUCAAAGAAUUGAAAAGUUAAGCCAAUUCAUUUAAAAUAAUCUUUGACUUUCUCAUUAUCAAUAUAUGUGUAUUUUCUGCAAGGUUACAAAAACAACUGGAACAUAUGUUAAAAUAAUCUUCAGUGUCAUCUGCAGCAACUAAUUCUAGAGAACUAUCUUAUUCAAUUUCAUUUCUUACUUAUAUGGAACUAAACCUUAAUCUGCUUUUCAGGUAUGAAAUAUAUUCAUGAUUCUGUCUCAAAAUAUGAAAUCAAAAGUUAGCAUUAUAACUCCCAGCUAACUGUCAUAUUAAUUCAUCUGGAUGAACCUUGUGGUACUGAACUUUGACAAUGCUCAGGGUGUCAAAGCAAACACCUGCCCCACCCCACGCCUACCCCAAAAACAAACGAGAGGCUUUUAUAGGUUGCAAGUCCUGGUCUGGUUUAUUUAUAAAGCAAUAAAUAUUAGAAGCACAAACAAAUUGCACGUGUGUAAACAAACUGUACAAUGAUUGAUGAAAGAUGAGGGAAGGUGGUUUGGAAGACUCCAAGAAGCAUAAUACCGUCAUCCUGACUGGAAGGUAGAUGGAGAGAGAAGGCAUCUUAGAAGCAUUUGCGGUGGACAAUGGAUGGGCCUGCCUCAUCGUACUCUUGCUUGCUAAUCCACAUUUGCUGGAAGGUGGACAGAGAGGCCAGGAUGGAGCCCCCAAUCCAGACAGAGUAUUUACGCUCAGGGGGAGCAAUAAUCUGCAGAAAGAAAACAAAAACUUCCAGUGAACUCUGAAGUUCCAAGCAAGGGAGCAAAUAACACAUUGGGAGGAUUCACAGAAAAAAACCAUUAGAUAUUAAUUCGCUAUAAUGUGGGAUAUGUCAUACCACGAAAUAAUGUGGCCAAUCAAGUUAUAUGAACUCACCUCUAUUUCAUCAUUUAUAUUAUUAAAGAUAUAUUCUAUUAUUAAAAUGGAAUUUCUCCACUUACCUAGAGUGUAAUUUGGCAACAAGCUAAAUGUGUAGUGGAGCCUAGCCCAAAAGUUGGGAGCUUUAAAAAUGUAUUCAAAGAU
This is a long non-coding RNA of Homo sapiens (human), 1342 nucleotides long. Ensembl annotates it as GJD2 divergent transcript. Its record names the gene GJD2-DT. Lineage: Eukaryota; Metazoa; Chordata; Mammalia; Primates; Hominidae. The record is from Ensembl.